This 253-nucleotide ribosomal RNA is filed under the name uncultured bacterium. RNAcentral describes it as "partial 16S ribosomal RNA". It matches the Rfam family "Bacterial small subunit ribosomal RNA", at positions 524 to 776 of the family's 1533-position model. The record is from RNAcentral.
GACGAGGGGUCCUAGCGUUGUUCGGAACCACUGGGCGUAAAGCGUUUGUAGGCGGCUCUAUAAGUCGGGUGUGAAAUCCCACGGCUCAACCGUGGAAGUGCAUUCGAAACUGCAGAGCUUGAAUAUUGAAGAGGACAGUAGAAUUGCUGGUGUAGUGGUGAAAUACGUAGAUAUCAGCAGGAAUACCGGUGGCGAAGGCGACUGUCUGGUCAAAUAUUGACGCUGAGAAACGAAAGUGCGGGGAUCAAACAGG